Molecule: ribosomal RNA, 483 nt
Filed under: uncultured bacterium
Lineage: Bacteria
Description: partial 16S ribosomal RNA
Rfam family: Bacterial small subunit ribosomal RNA
Source: RNAcentral
AUUGAAUGCUGGCGGCAGGCCUAACACAUGCAAGUCGAGCGGAUGAAGGGAGCUUGCUCCUGGAUUCAGCGGCGGACGGGUGAGUAAUGCCUAGGAAUCUGCCUGGUAGUGGGGGAUACGUCCGGAAACGGGCGCUAAUACCGCAUACGUCCUGAGGGAGAAAGUGGGGGAUCUUCGGACCUCACGCUAUCAGAUGAGCCUAGGUCGGAUUAGCUAGUUGGUGGGGUAAAGGCCUACCAAGGCGACGAUCCGUAACUGGUCUGAGAGGAUGAUCAGUCACACUGGAACUGAGACACGGUCCAGACUCCUACGGGAGGCAGCAGUGGGGAAUAUUGGACAAUGGGCGAAAGCCUGAUCCAGCCAUGCCGCGUGUGUGAAGAAGGUCUUCGGAUUGUAAAGCACUUUAAGUUGGGAGGAAGGGCAGUAAGUUAAUACCUUGCUGUUUUGACGUUACCAACAGAAUAAGCACCGGCUAACUUCGUG